This 785-nucleotide long non-coding RNA is filed under the name Capra hircus (goat). RNAcentral describes it as "lncRNA (ENSCHIG00000007451.1)". Lineage: Eukaryota; Metazoa; Chordata; Mammalia; Artiodactyla; Bovidae. The record is from RNAcentral.
UAUAGAAGAAAAAUAUGAAAUAUAUUGUAUGUUUUCUGAAACAAUCAAUUUAUAACAUUAUAAAUCAUUAUAAAUAUUAAUAUAAUCAUUAAUAUUCAUAGGGUCAACCAACAUGAAGUUUCUCAUUUGGGCCUGCCUCAUGUAUGUUUCUUUUGCAAGGGAUUACAGUGACAACAUAGGCAGUCCUUACCCAGUUGACCCAUCUGCAAGUAUUCCUUACCCAGUUGACCCAUCUGCAAGUAUUCCUUAUCCCAUGCCAGACAGCGAUUUCCCUCCUCCUGUCUAUGUUACAAAGACUAAUUUCCCCAAUUACCCUGGGAAUCCUGAUCCUGGUACAGCAGUACCCUCAAAUCCACUGGUUUUCACUGUUCUUACAGCUCCCCUCUACAGUAUUGCUAGUCUUCCCAUAUCUCCUUUUUCCGGUCAACCUCCUCCUACUGGGGUUUUCCGCCUUGUUCCUGCCUCACGUAGACCUACAGGACCUUUUUACCCACCAAAUGAAGCUGCACCUUCUGCAGACAAUACAUAUAUAGUUGAGAUUCUUGUCCCACCUACUACACCCUCACCUACUCUCCCAGAUGUCCAACCACUUACUAUCACAGAGCCUGAUGAAGCCGAGCCUGCAGCAGCUGCCCACGCUGCCCCAGGACCUCAGUCCUCUAUUUCUUUUGACCAGGAAUAAUUGGAACAAGAAUCAGUGAAAGCUAAAAAAAUUUAUUUUCUUUUCAAAGACUACCAUUCUAUUAAAAAUAUAUUUCAAUAAAAAAAAUUUAAAUAAUCAGUCU